GAUGAACGCUGGCGGCGUGCCUAAUACAUGCAAGUCGAGCGAACAGACGAGGAGCUUGCUCCUCUGACGUUAGCGGCGGACGGGUGAGUAACACGUGGAUAACCUACCUAUAAGACUGGGAUAACUUCGGGAAACCGGAGCUAAUACCGGAUAAUAUAUUGAACCGCAUGGUUCAAUAGUGAAAGACGGUUUUGCUGUCACUUAUAGAUGGAUCCGCGCCGCAUUAGCUAGUUGGUAAGGUAACGGCUUACCAAGGCAACGAUGCGUAGCCGACCUGAGAGGGGGAUCGGCCACACUGGAACUGAGACACGGUCCAGACUCCUACGGGAGGCAGCAGUAGGGAAACUUCCGCAAUGGGCGAAAGCCUGACGGAGCAACGCCGCGUGAGUGAUGAAGGUCUUCGGAUCGUAAAACUCUGUUAUUAGGGAAGAACAAAUGUGUAAGUAACUAUGCACGUCUUGACGGUACCUAAUCAGAAAGCCACGGCUAACUACGUG
Molecule: ribosomal RNA, 497 nt
Filed under: uncultured bacterium
Lineage: Bacteria
Description: partial 16S ribosomal RNA
Rfam family: Bacterial small subunit ribosomal RNA
Source: RNAcentral